This 971-nucleotide ribosomal RNA is filed under the name Enterococcus faecium. RNAcentral's name for it is "bacterial SSU rRNA". It matches the Rfam family "Bacterial small subunit ribosomal RNA", at positions 202 to 1162 of the family's 1533-position model. The record is from RNAcentral. Lineage: Bacteria; Bacillati; Bacillota; Bacilli; Lactobacillales; Enterococcaceae.
AAAGGCGCUUUCGGGUGUCGCUGAUGGAUGGACCCGCGGUGCAUUAGCUAGUUGGUGAGGUAACGGCUCACCAAGGCCACGAUGCAUAGCCGACCUGAGAGGGUGAUCGGCCACAUUGGGACUGAGACACGGCCCAAACUCCUACGGGAGGCAGCAGUAGGGAAUCUUCGGCAAUGGACGAAAGUCUGACCGAGCAACGCCGCGUGAGUGAAGAAGGUUUUCGGAUCGUAAAACUCUGUUGUUAGAGAAGAACAAGGAUGAGAGUAACUGUUCAUCCCUUGACGGUAUCUAACCAGAAAGCCACGGCUAACUACGUGCCAGCAGCCGCGGUAAUACGUAGGUGGCAAGCGUUGUCCGGAUUUAUUGGGCGUAAAGCGAGCGCAGGCGGUUUCUUAAGUCUGAUGUGAAAGCCCCCGGCUCAACCGGGGAGGGUCAUUGGAAACUGGGAGACUUGAGUGCAGAAGAGGAGAGUGGAAUUCCAUGUGUAGCGGUGAAAUGCGUAGAUAUAUGGAGGAACACCAGUGGCGAAGGCGGCUCUCUGGUCUGUAACUGACGCUGAGGCUCGAAAGCGUGGGGAGCAAACAGGAUUAGAUACCCUGGUAGUCCACGCCGUAAACGAUGAGUGCUAAGUGUUGGAGGGUUUCCGCCCUUCAGUGCUGCAGCUAACGCAUUAAGCACUCCGCCUGGGGAGUACGACCGCAAGGUUGAAACUCAAAGGAAUUGACGGGGGCCCGCACAAGCGGUGGAGCAUGUGGUUUAAUUCGAAGCAACGCGAAGAACCUUACCAGGUCUUGACAUCCUUUGACCACUCUAGAGAUAGAGCUUCCCCUUCGGGGGCAAAGUGACAGGUGGUGCAUGGUUGUCGUCAGCUCGUGUCGUGAGAUGUUGGGUUAAGUCCCGCAACGAGCGCAACCCUUAUUGUUAGUUGCCAUCAUUCAGUUGGGCACUCUAGCAAGACUGCCGGUGACAAA